Cordylochernes scorpioides is the source of this 70-nucleotide non-coding RNA. NCBI's taxonomy places the organism in Eukaryota, Metazoa, Arthropoda, Arachnida, Pseudoscorpiones, Chernetidae. The record is from the annotation of a GenBank genome assembly.
UGUUCUCAGCACAGAAUCGAACCCACGACCUUCCGCUUACUGGGCAGAUGCCAUGACCACUAGGCUACCC